This 254-nucleotide ribosomal RNA is filed under the name uncultured bacterium. Its description in RNAcentral is "partial 16S ribosomal RNA". It matches the Rfam family "Bacterial small subunit ribosomal RNA", at positions 524 to 776 of the family's 1533-position model. The record is from RNAcentral.
GACGUAGGGGGCGAGCGUUAUCCGGAUUCACUGGGCGUAAAGGGCGCGCAGGCGGCUAUGUAAGUCCAGCGUGAAAUCCCAUGGCUUAACUGUGGAACUGCGUCGGAUACUGCAUUGGCUUGAGGGCGGUAGAGGCUUCUGGAACUAGCGGUGUAGCGGUGAAAUGCGCAGAUAUCGCUAGGAACGCCGGUGGCGAAGGCGGGAAGCUGGGCCGAUCCUGACGCUGAGGCGCGAAAGCUAGGGGAGCGAACCGG